UCAGAGCUUUUGGUGACCAUCUCGUAUGGUAAAGGCUCAUGGAUCUCAAAGAUAGAGGGAAUCAACGAGAUAAGUCUUCACGAUGACUGGUGGUUGAAACAGGUGUGGUUGGAGGUAGCCGGAGAGGCGGUGGGUUCAUCAGAGAAGAAGAGAACCAGAAGGUUCUAGAGAGAAGAGAGAGGAACAGACAAAGAGAGAG
Molecule: long non-coding RNA, 199 nt
Filed under: Nicotiana benthamiana
Lineage: Eukaryota; Viridiplantae; Streptophyta; Magnoliopsida; Solanales; Solanaceae
Description: long non-coding RNA (NBEN_LNC017079)
Source: RNAcentral